This 165-nucleotide small nuclear RNA is filed under the name Carlito syrichta (Philippine tarsier). RNAcentral describes it as "U1 spliceosomal RNA (ENSTSYG00000027587.1)". It matches the Rfam family "U1 spliceosomal RNA". Rfam says of the family: U1 is a small nuclear RNA (snRNA) component of the spliceosome (involved in pre-mRNA splicing). Its 5' end forms complementary base pairs with the 5' splice junction, thus defining the 5' donor site of an intron. There are significant differences in sequence and secondary structure between metazoan and yeast U1 snRNAs, the latter being much longer (568 nucleotides as compared to 164 nucleotides in human). Lineage: Eukaryota; Metazoa; Chordata; Mammalia; Primates; Tarsiidae. The record is from RNAcentral.
AUACUUACCUGGCAGGGGGGAUGCCAUGAUCACAAAGGUGGUUUUCCCGGGUUGAGGCUUAUCUACUGUUCUCUGGAUGUGCUGACUCCUAGGAUUUCCCCAAAUGUGGGAAACUUAACUGCAUGAUUUGUGGUAGUGGGGGACUGUGUUCAAGCUAGAGACCAA